UAGGGGGCUAGCGUUAUCCGGAAUUACUGGGCGUAAAGGGUGCGUAGGUGGUUUCUUAAGUCAGAGGUGAAAGGCUACGGCUCAACCGUAGUAAGCCUUUGAAACUGGGGAACUUGAGUGCAGGAGAGGAGAGUGGAAUUCCUAGUGUAGCGGUGAAAUGCGUAGAUAUUAGGAGGAACACCAGUUGCGAAGGCGGCUCUCUGGACUGUAACUGACACUGAGGCACGAAAGCGUGGGGAGCAAA
RNAcentral lists this ribosomal RNA (244 nucleotides) under uncultured bacterium. Its description in RNAcentral is "partial 16S ribosomal RNA". It matches the Rfam family "Bacterial small subunit ribosomal RNA", at positions 528 to 772 of the family's 1533-position model. The record is from RNAcentral.